Molecule: ribosomal RNA, 502 nt
Filed under: uncultured bacterium
Lineage: Bacteria
Description: partial 16S ribosomal RNA
Rfam family: Bacterial small subunit ribosomal RNA
Source: RNAcentral
ACGAACGCUGGCGGCGUGCUUAACACAUGCAAGUCGAACGGUGAAGCGCUUGCCUUUUUGGUGGGUGUGGGUGAGUGGCGAACGGGUGAGUAACACGUGAGUAACCUGCCCUCUUCUUCUGGAUAACCUCAUGAAAGUGGGGCUAAUACGGGGUAUUCCGGGUCUGUCGCAUGGCGGGUUUGGGAAAGAUUGCGCCUUUGGGUGUUUUCGGUGGGGGAUGGGCUCGCGGCCUAUCAGCUUGUUGGUGGGGUGAUGGCCUACCACGGCGGUGACGGGUAGCCGGCCUGAGAGGGUGGACGGCCACACUGGGACUGAGACACGGCCCAGACUCCUGCGGGAGGCAGCAGUGGGGAAUAUUGCACAAUGGGCGCAAGCCUGAUGCAGCGACGCCGCGUGAGGGAUGAGGCCUUCGGGUUGUGAACCUCUUUCGCCAGUGAAGCAGGCCUGCUCCUGUGUGGGUGGGUUGACGGUAGCUGGAUAAGAAGCGCCGGCUAACUACGUG